Molecule: ribosomal RNA, 497 nt
Filed under: uncultured bacterium
Lineage: Bacteria
Description: partial 16S ribosomal RNA
Rfam family: Bacterial small subunit ribosomal RNA
Source: RNAcentral
GAUGAACGCUGGCGGCGUGCCUAAUACAUGCAAGUCGAGCGAACGGACGAGAAGCUUGCUUCUCUGAUGUUAGCGGCGGACGGGUGAGUAACACGUGGAUAACCUACCUAUAAGACUGGGAUAACUUCGGGAAACCGUAGCUAAUACCGGAUAAUAUUUUGAACCGCAUGGUUCAAAAGUGAAAGACGGUCUUGCUGUCACUUAUAGAUGGAUCCGCGCUGCAUUAGCUAGUUGGUAAGGUAACGGCUUACCAAGGCAACGAUGCAUAGCCGACCUGAGAGGGUGAUCGGCCACACUGGAACUGAGACACGGUCCAGACUCCGACGGGAGGCAGCAGUAGGGAAUCUUCCGCAAUGGGCGAAAGCCUGACGGAGCAACGCCGCGUGAGUGAUGAAGGUCUUCGGAUCGUAAAACUCUGUUAUUAGGGAAGAACAUAUGUGUAAGUAACUGGGCACAUCUUGACGGUACCUAAUCAGAAAGCCACGGCUAACUACGUG